AUACGGGGGUGGCGAGCGUUACUCGGAAUUAUUGGGUGUAAAGGGUAAGUAGGCGGUCUAUUAAGUGAGGGGUGAAAUCCUCCGACUCAAUCGGAAAAUUGCCUUUCAAACUAGUAGACUUGAGACUGGAAGAGGGAAAUGGAAUUAGCAGUGUAAGGGUGAAAUCUGUAGAUAUUGCUAAGAACACCAGCGGCGAAGGCGGUUUCCUGGUCCAAGUCUGACGCUAAAUUACGAAAGCUAGGGGAGCAAACAGAAUUAGAUACCCCGGUAGUCC
RNAcentral lists this ribosomal RNA (274 nucleotides) under uncultured bacterium. Its description in RNAcentral is "partial 16S ribosomal RNA". It matches the Rfam family "Bacterial small subunit ribosomal RNA", at positions 523 to 796 of the family's 1533-position model. The record is from RNAcentral.